GCACGCCGUCGGCCGUCACACCACAUCCAAGACUUGCACAUCACAAGCCAAGAGCAACAUCAAACCAACACAACAUUGUCAAUCACUCAUUAUCUAAGGGUGACCACCAUUGGUCGUCAUAUGGACUUAGUGUUGAUGAGUAAUUCAGAUCCAAUCUACUAAGCAUGUAUAGACAUAUAAUAGAUAGAGCAGAGGUAACAAAUCUAGAGCAACCUAGACUAUGCAUAUGUUGUAAUUCUUGGCAUGGAUAGCAAAGAAACACAUAUAUGAUGUUAGUACAAAGCAUAUUUAAAUCUACACCUCCAGUCCAGCUCCCGAAACCCCCCAC
Molecule: long non-coding RNA, 328 nt
Filed under: Setaria viridis
Lineage: Eukaryota; Viridiplantae; Streptophyta; Magnoliopsida; Poales; Poaceae
Description: long non-coding RNA (SVIR_LNC005630)
Source: RNAcentral